AUGAGCUACUACAACCAGCAGCCACCCGUCGGCGCCCCGCCGCCGCAAGGGUACGGGGACAAGGGCGGCUACCCGCCGCCGGGCAGGGCUACCCGCCGCAGUACGCGCAGCAGCCGCCGCCCCACCAGCAGCAGCAGCAGAGCAGCGGGCCUUCCUUCAUGGAGGGAUGCCUGGCCGCCCUUUGCUGCUGCUGUCUCCUGGACGCCUGCUUCUGAGGAGGGAGGGAGGGAGGAAGACGACGAUCAACUUCGUGCAACUGGGACUGAGCUAUCCUUCUCUGACGGAGAAAUGCUGCUAGUAGCUUAA
Molecule: ribosomal RNA, 306 nt
Filed under: Triticum aestivum (bread wheat)
Lineage: Eukaryota; Viridiplantae; Streptophyta; Magnoliopsida; Poales; Poaceae
Description: partial small subunit ribosomal RNA
Source: RNAcentral